RNAcentral lists this non-coding RNA (565 nucleotides) under Schistosoma curassoni. RNAcentral describes it as "Eukaryotic small subunit ribosomal RNA". It matches the Rfam family "Eukaryotic small subunit ribosomal RNA", at positions 1187 to 1743 of the family's 1831-position model. Lineage: Eukaryota; Metazoa; Platyhelminthes; Trematoda; Strigeidida; Schistosomatidae. The record is from Rfam by way of RNAcentral.
UGUUUAAUUCGACCCAACACAGGAAAGCUCACCCGACCCGGACACUGUGAGGAUUGACAGAUUGAUAGCUCAUUCUUGAUUCGGUGGGUGGUGGUGCAUGGCCGUUCUUAGUUUGUGGAGCAAUUUGUCUGGUUAAUUCCGAUAACAAACGAGACUUUAACCUGCUAAAUAGUAGACUGGUCCUCUGUGCUCGCUUAGAGCGCGGCUUCUAUUGCUUCUUUAUGGGGUAGUGUGGUCGUGGCACAGUUAAGUCGCACGAGAUCGAGCAAUAACAGGUCUGUGAUGCCCUUAGACGUCCGGGGCCACACGUGCGCUACAAUGACGGUGCCAGCGAGUCUGGAAACCUGGCCCGAAGAUGUUGGUCAAACUGCUUCAUCACCAUCGUGACUGGGCUCAUGGCUCGCAAUUAUUCCUCUUGAACGAGGAAUUCCCGGUCAGUGCAAGUCAUAAGCUUGCGCUGAUUACGUCCCUGCCCUUUGUACACAACGCCCGUCGUUUCUACCGAUUGAAUGGUUUAGUGAGGUCAUUGGAUUGGUGUCGUUGUAGUAGCUUUGCAGCUCGACUG